Molecule: ribosomal RNA, 207 nt
Filed under: uncultured bacterium
Lineage: Bacteria
Description: partial 16S ribosomal RNA
Rfam family: Bacterial small subunit ribosomal RNA
Source: RNAcentral
UGCGUAGGCGGUUGGGUAAGUCAGAGGUGAAAUUCCGGGGCUCAACCUCGGAACUGCCUUUGAUACUGCCUGACUAGAGUACUGGAGAGGAGACUGGAAUUCACGGUGUAGCAGUGAAAUGCGUAGAUAUCGUGAGGAAGACCAGUGGCGAAGGCGAGUCUCUGGACAGUUACUGACGCUGAGGCACGAAGGCUAGGGGAGCAAACG